CUGUAAAUUACGAUGGCCGGGAUAUGCAAAACAGCAUUACAAAGUGUGAAACACUUUUACAAAGAUCGAGACAAAUUUACAUUUUAGAAAACAAAUUAACAAGAUGCAAAACACUUUUACAGUCCCAAAACAAAUCUA
Long non-coding RNA from Etheostoma cragini (Arkansas darter), 138 nucleotides. RefSeq lists it as uncharacterized. NCBI's taxonomy places the organism in Eukaryota, Metazoa, Chordata, Actinopteri, Perciformes, Percidae. The transcript is spliced from 3 exons. The record is from RefSeq and is a predicted model, not a curated record.